Molecule: transfer RNA, 73 nt
Filed under: Kouleothrix aurantiaca
Lineage: Bacteria; Bacillati; Chloroflexota; Chloroflexia; Chloroflexales; Roseiflexaceae
Rfam family: tRNA
About the family: Transfer RNA (tRNA) molecules are approximately 80 nucleotides in length. Their secondary structure includes four short double-helical elements and three loops (D, anti-codon, and T loops). Further hydrogen bonds mediate the characteristic L-shaped molecular structure. tRNAs have two regions of fundamental functional importance: the anti-codon, which is responsible for specific mRNA codon recognition, and the 3' end, to which the tRNAs corresponding amino acid is attached (by aminoacyl-tRNA synthetases). tRNAs cope with the degeneracy of the genetic code in two manners: having more than one tRNA (with a specific anti-codon) for a particular amino acid; and 'wobble' base-pairing, i.e. permitting non-standard base-pairing at the 3rd anti-codon position.
Source: Rfam by way of RNAcentral
GGCCUCAUAGCUCAGCACAAAGAGCGCCGGUCUGCGAAGCCGGAGGUCGCAGGUGGGAUUCCUGCUGAGGUCG